AUCCAGCUGACGAAUUCCAAAUAGGACGAAAUGCGCAUCCUGGAU
RNAcentral lists this non-coding RNA (45 nucleotides) under Schistosoma mansoni. Lineage: Eukaryota; Metazoa; Platyhelminthes; Trematoda; Strigeidida; Schistosomatidae. The record is from RNAcentral.